RNAcentral lists this ribosomal RNA (761 nucleotides) under marine CFB-group bacterium SY121. RNAcentral's name for it is "bacterial SSU rRNA". It matches the Rfam family "Bacterial small subunit ribosomal RNA", at positions 65 to 816 of the family's 1533-position model. The record is from RNAcentral. Lineage: Bacteria; Pseudomonadati; Bacteroidota.
AGGGGCAGCGGGGANAAGCUUGCUUAUCCGCCGGCGACCGGCGCACGGGUGCGCAACGCGUAUAGAAUCUGCCCUGUACUGGGGAAUAGCCCAGAGAAAUUUGGAUUAAUGCCCCAUGGUAUGUAUUAGCGGCAUCGCUUAUACAUUAAAGGNUANNGGUACNGGANGACUAUGCGUCCCAUUAGUUAGUUGGUAAGGUAACGGCUUACCAAGGCAGCGAUGGGUAGGGGCCCUGAGAGGGGGAUCCCCCACACUGGUACUGAGACACGGACCAGACUCCUACGGGAGGCAGCAGUGAGGAAUAUUGGACAAUGGGCGGGAGCCUGAUCCAGCCAUGCCGCGUGCAGGAAGACGGUCCUAUGGAUUGUAAACUGCUUUUGUACGGGAAGAACAAGGGGCACGUGUGCCCCUCUGACGGUACCGUAAGAAUAAGGAUCGGCUAACUCCGUGCCAGCAGCCGCGGUAAUACGGAGGAUCCGAGCGUUAUCCGGAAUCAUUGGGUUUAAAGGGUCCGUAGGCGGGCCAUUAAGUCAGGGGGUGAAAGUCUGCGGCUCAACCGUAGAAUUGCCCUUGAUACUGGUGGUCUUGAGUUAUGGUGAAGUAACUAGAAUAUGUAGUGUAGCGGUGAAAUGCAUAGAUAUUACAUAGAAUACCGAUUGCGAAAGGCAGGUUACUAACCAUAUACUGACGCUNAUGGACGAAAGCGUGGGGAGCGAACAGGAUUAGAUACCCUGGUAGUCCACGCCNUANACNAUNGANAC